RNAcentral lists this ribosomal RNA (497 nucleotides) under uncultured bacterium. Its description in RNAcentral is "partial 16S ribosomal RNA". It matches the Rfam family "Bacterial small subunit ribosomal RNA", at positions 28 to 507 of the family's 1533-position model. The record is from RNAcentral.
GACGAAUGCUGGCGGCGUGCCUAAUACAUGCAAGUAGAACGCUGAAGAGAGGAGCUUGCUCUUCUUGGAUGAGUUGCGAACGGGUGAGUAACGCGUAGGUAACCUGCCUUGUAGCGGGGGAUAACUAUUGGAAACGAUAGCUAAUACCGCAUAACAAUGGAUGACACAUGUCAUUUAUUUGAAAGGGGCAAUUGCUCCACUACAAGAUGGACCUGCGUUGUAUUAGCUAGUAGGUGAGGUAAUGGCUCACCUAGGCGACGAUACAUAGCCGACCUGAGAGGGUGAUCGGCCACACUGGGACUGAGACACGGCCCAGACUCCUACGGGAGGCAGCAGUGGGGAAUCUUCGGCAAUGGGGGCAACCCUGACCGAGCAACGCCGCGUGAGUGAAGAAGGUUUUCGGAUCGUAAAGCUCUGUUGUAAGUCAAGAACGGGUGUGAGAGUGGAAAGUUCACACUGUGACGGUAGCUUACCAGAAAGGGACGGCUAACUACGUG